Molecule: non-coding RNA, 2784 nt
Organism: Osmia lignaria (orchard mason bee)
Lineage: Eukaryota; Metazoa; Arthropoda; Insecta; Hymenoptera; Megachilidae
Source: RefSeq, a predicted model, not a curated record
UAAUAGAAAUUAAGUCUAUUGUACUUUAAGCAAUUUCAGCAUCUAUUAUGUAUUGUAUAAUGUGUAAGAGGAAAAAGAUAUACAAGAGGAAAUAGUGUGACCUCUCCAGUGAGUAAAGCAUACUGUUCGUGUUAGAAGUGUGGGGGUGUGGUUGCUCAUUUAUAUAGAAACGUAUGUAUAGUCGAACUCGAUAAACAAUGGAAACUUUCACAAUAAAAUAUUUGCAUCUCGAAGAAAAAAUAUUACAAAGCCUGAAAAAUAAUGGCAUAGAAUGUCGGGCAAAAGCUAACAGUGGAUUAUGGCUUGGAACCUUAGUAGGUUUAAGCGCACUUUUAACUAUAUUAAAGGAAGAUAAUAGCUAUUCCGAAAUUUGCCUCAUUGUAGGCCUCACAGGAAUUGGUCUUGUUAUUAGUUCUAUAUGUUUAUACAUAAAAUUAUCAACAAAAAUGGUUACAGUUAGAGAUUUUCAAGCCAUAUAUUUUUUACCAGCUAUAGUAACAUCAAUGUUAUAUCUUCUAAUAGCAAAUAAAGGAUUACUGGUGAGCGUGAUAUGGGGCUUAGGUGUAGGAAGCUUAGGUACAUGGGGAGUUCUUCAAUUGAUGUCCAUGUUUCCUCGUUGUUUCACAAUUGGAGAAGCAACAGCAACUAUGCAUGGUUGUAUCUUAUUUCUAAUGUCUGCUGUAACAAACUUGCCAUUAAGAUACCAUCUACCUCCUAUUCAUGAUGAUGAUAUUGUUACAGUUAUAUUACAGGUUGCAAUGUUAUAUGCCAUGGCAAUUUGUUUAAUAUCUAGUUGCCUUCCAAUGUUUCAAUCAACUAUAAAGUUUUACAUAAUGACAAUCACUCUUUUAUUGAUUAUAGUUUUACCAGUAAUGCAUAUUAUAUUGGAUCAAAAUCCUAUAGUUUGGAUGUUUUAUUUUAUUUUUAAUAAAACAAGCAAGAUUAUUUUAAUUGGAUAUUGGGCUGUAUGUUUAUUGCUAGGUGUGGCUGUUGUUGCAUAUCAGAUAUUGUUGAACAAUCAAGCAACAACUACAAUCAGAAAAAUGUUUCACUUAUUAGCAGUACUUGUAUAUGUACCUGGUUUAAUUUAUGAACAUAUAUUACUGUAUUUUGCUAGUGGAGUUGUUAUGGGAUUAUUUCUACUUCUUGAGUUACUGAGAUACUUAAGAAUACCACCACUUGGAAAAAUAUUACAGCAAGGAUUCUCUGUGUUUGCUGAUGAGAAAGAUCAUUUGAUUUCUUUGACACCUUUAUACUUAUUCUGUGGUUUAUCUUUCCCACUUUGGAUGCCUACCAGUAAUCUCCCUUUGUUAGUUUUGCUCAGUGGCAUACUGUCAGUUGGAAUAGGUGAUACUGCUGCCAGUUUCAUUGGUUACAAAUGGGGUACUCACAAGUGGAGGAAUUCAGACAAGUCUAUUGAAGGCACAAUUGCUUGUAUUCUUAGUCAGGUUGGAUUCAUAUGUUUAUUAGCGUUUAUGGGCUACAUAGAUAGUGGUUGGUUACUUUUGAGAAGCGUGUGGUCAAGCGUCGUUUUGUCAUUAAUUGAAGCACAAACAAAUCAAGUUGACAAUUUAGCAUUACCUUUACUAAUGUACGUGUGCCUGAUGGUUUAGGUGUGUAAGGCAGAGGAUCAUCUUGUGAGAGAUCUGAAAUAUCGACGUCGUCCAAAACCUAAUUUUUUGAAGCUGAUUUAUGGCGCACUCUAUGAUGAUUUCAAGUACUAUGCUGAGCUAAAUGAUCAUUCACCAGGAUACAUACUGCCAAUGGCUGGCGAGAACAGAGCGGUGGCAUUUCGUAAAUUUCACUCGUUUAACCGUAUCAGGCAGGCGUCGGCGGAGACACGGAGGGCCGAGGUGACGGAGGUGGUGGACGCGUCUUCGCGACGUUGACGCGAUAAAGCGCGCCUCAAAGGAGGGCCGGGGAACCUGGUGGGACCCUGGAUUGACGUCAUUCGAUGACGUCAAGCAGGACCGUGCCGAAAGCGAGCAGGAACCACGUUCAAAACCAUGCCGAACAUCCUUCCUACGUGACCUACUCCACCUACCCCGACCACGACGCAAGAAAAGGAUCUAUUUAUGCAUCCCCCCUGAACAUUCUUAUAUCGAGUAUAGAAAUAGCUUUCAGUCUUAGGACAGGGAAAAAAGUGGCAAUAAUUACAAAAGAAUGGAAAGCGUGAUCGUAACAGGCUGGUGAAGAGAAAAAAGAUGGAACGUGUCAAAACGAAGGGAAAGUCUUCUUGUGAAACAUUUAUUUACCGUAAAUUAGAAAUCUUUGAAUUGCAAUUGAAUCAGUGGUAAAGAUUAAAGGGACAAAUGAGUUUCAACAUUCAUCAUUAAUGAAUGAUAAUCGAAUGAAACUAUAUAUGUCAGCUUUAAGUUUCCUUCACCAUACGUCACGAGAAAGACCAAUCUCUGUAAUCCUAUUAUAUCCUGAUCCUAUUACUAGAUGUUGUAAUAAUCCUAAUGAUUCGCCUGGUAGACUCGGACUUUCCAUCGGAUCUAUUACGUACAUAUUUCCUUCUACCUUACUAUCUUAAGUACAUCGUUUCAUAUUUGCGAUUCACCGUUGUGUACGAUUUUUGAUAACGAUAUCACUGAUUUUUCACCUCUACCUCUGCUAUUGCAGACAAGUAAACAUCAUUUCGCGAAGGAAUCGUGAAAAAAAAGUAGGUCAUGGAUGAAUGACAAUAGCAGUGCUAUAGAAAUAAAGAAUAAAACUUUCGAGUAGAUGAAACGAUGUCGAUGAAAAAGAUUUGAGGUUUGCAUUUUUCUUUUUUUUUUUUUU